This 114-nucleotide small RNA is filed under the name Marmota monax (woodchuck). The record is from RNAcentral. Lineage: Eukaryota; Metazoa; Chordata; Mammalia; Rodentia; Sciuridae.
UCCAGGCACAGUGGUGUAUGCCUGUAAUCCCAGUGGCUCUGGAGGCUGAUGCAGGAGGAUUGCAAGCCUCAGCAAAAGUGAGGUGCUGAGCAACUCAGUGAGAUCCUGUCUCUA